CAGUCGCCGCGGGAAUACGUAGGUGGCAAGCGUUGUCCGGAAUUAUUGGGCGUAAAGGGCUCGCAGGCGGUUUCUUAAGUCUGAUGUGAAAGCCCCCGGCUCAACCGGGGAGGGUCAUUGGAAACUGGGUAACUGGAGUGCAGUAGAGGGUAGUGGAAUUUCCGGUGUAGCGGUGAAAUGCGUAGAUAUCUGGAGGAAUACCGGUGGCGAAGGCGGCCCCCUGGACAAAGACUGACGCUCAGGUGCGAAAGCGUGGGGAGCAAACAGGAUUAGAUACCCGGGUAGUCCCUGUCUCUUAUAC
This 301-nucleotide ribosomal RNA is filed under the name uncultured bacterium. RNAcentral's name for it is "partial 16S ribosomal RNA". It matches the Rfam family "Bacterial small subunit ribosomal RNA", at positions 509 to 807 of the family's 1533-position model. The record is from RNAcentral.